This 253-nucleotide ribosomal RNA is filed under the name uncultured prokaryote. RNAcentral describes it as "partial 16S ribosomal RNA". It matches the Rfam family "Bacterial small subunit ribosomal RNA", at positions 524 to 776 of the family's 1533-position model. The record is from RNAcentral.
UACAGAGGUCCCAAGCGUUGUUCGGAUUCACUGGGCGUAAAGGGUGCGUAGGUGGUCGGGUAAGUCUGAUGUGAAAUCUCCGAGCUUAACUCGGAAACUGCAUCGGAUACUAUUCGGCUGGAGGGUUGGAGGGGGGACUGGAAUACUUGGUGUAGCAGUGAAAUGCGUAGAUAUCAAGUGGAACACCAGUGGCGAAGGCGAGUCUCUGGACAUUUCCUGACGCUGAGGCACGAAAGCCAGGGGAGCAAACGGG